Long non-coding RNA from Ziziphus jujuba (common jujube), 1110 nucleotides. RefSeq lists it as uncharacterized. Lineage: Eukaryota; Viridiplantae; Streptophyta; Magnoliopsida; Rosales; Rhamnaceae. The transcript has 4 exons. The record is from RefSeq and is a predicted model, not a curated record.
GAAAAAAUUAAAAAAAAAAAAUUGGAAAUUUAAGUUUGGGCCUAGUAUUGUCUAAAGUUGCGACCCAUUAAGGCAUCAGGAAAUGGAGCUCCAAAAACAGCACUGUUGGGGCGCAAAACCCUUGCAUUUCGCCUCUUUUGAAUGAAGAAAGCGAGGGACUUCUUCUUCCUCGCAACAAUCCUCAGAAGCAGCAGCUUUCUCACUCUUCUAAGGCCCACUCCUCAGAUGGAGGACAUAUCAGAGAGAUACUGUUUCAAACCAAUUCUGCGAUGGAACCCUCAGGUGGAGGACUACUUUGUCAGAGCUUACGGACCUGACCAUUUCUCCUGCAUUUCCCAAGCUCUCACGUAACUUAUUUUAAUCACUUACUCUGAUACUGGAUUCUUUAUUUAUUUAUUUUUUUAAGUGAAUCGUUUGGUUACCCUUUCGUGUGGGAGAAAAUAGGAGUAAUUAACUUUACCUUCUCUGUUUACUCGGCUGCCAAGCAUAAAUUAGAAGAUUAGUUCUUUUGGAGUAGAGAUUAAUGCUGCAAAACCGACGCCAAUUGCAAUUCCCAGAGUUUGCAUAACUGUGGUAAGGCAGCUUCAGAACAAGAUGGCGUCACAAAUAAGUUCAAGGAGAGCUUUCACAGCAGUCCCAUUUCAAAGUGUCAGUUUCCAGGGUUAGACUAUGUUCUGUUUGUCAGGGGUUCAGGACCACACAAAAUUGAUUAUGGUUAUGCUGAUGGUAUACCUCCUAAGGAGGUAAUUGUGAGUCGCAAAUGUGCUGAGGCAGUUCUUCGAGGUGCUCAGUGGUUUUUGCAGGCAGCUUUCUACCAAACCCAGUGGAAAUCUGGCUGUUCUUGAUAACUUAACCCUGUUACCAAGCAAGGCAAGGUUUGUCUUCCAAACAAAGCAGAGGCGAUAACGGCUGCUAUUACCAACAUUCCAAACGAUCGUAGACCACCUAUGCACAAGGUCCACUUCUUGUAUUUGUAUUUGCCAUUGUCAUUGUGUUUGUUUUUAAUGUGUUAAAACCAUGUGCAUCAAUAAGGAUUUUACUUUGGUAAACAUUGUGUACAGAAAAAUUCCUCGUGCCAUUAAGCAUCGAUAUGAUUAAAAAGGAAAAAAG